UCAUUUCUGUCUUUUUUUAAUUAAGGCUUUGAACUCAUCAAUUAGUUACAUUUUUCACCAACAAAACUGUUCAACAUGAACGUCAGCAAAGGAACAAGUCGACGCUCGGCUCAAACGGGCUCAGAGACUUGAAGUUUCUGGGGGUUUUUACAAGAAAAAUCUAAUUCCUGAGGAUUUUUGUCAGUAAAAGUAGACGUUUCUGUGACGGCUUCAAUCGUGAUGUGUUAUCCAGGAUGCUGAUGCGAAAAGUGAAUCCCACAAAACGGGGUCGUCUGAAUUCCGCCCAGACCGCAGCUGCUCGGGAUAAAGAGGAUGUGGCGUCCCACCUGACUUUGCUUUCUCUGAUUGAAGAUGACAUCUCAGAAAGAGAAGAGGGUGAAGAUGAACAGGAGAUUGAAGAUUCUGACAAUGAAUCGCAGUCUUCUUACACACUGCCUUCUACAAGGCACACCUCCGUCAGCGUCCUCGAUGAGCUCUUUGACUGAAAUCAGUCGGGAUCCUCCAGCCAGAGGAGCUUCAGGAGUAAAAAGUACUUUAAAAAAAAAAGGUUUCAUUUUCUGUUUGAGAGCUGUUGCCUUUUGUAACUUUAUUUAUAAAGAUUUUUUUUGUUGUUGUAAAAGAUUAAAUAUUUUUGAAAAGUUGAAAUGUUUACAUUUUAUUGCAAGUAAUGUUCGAAACCUGUCAGCCUUUUUAUAAACUGAAAGUGCAAGGACUUCUUAGUAUGUUGCAUUGUUGGCAACAAGAGUUUUGUUAAACAGUUUUGUUUCUUUUUUUUAAGACUCUUAUUCAAAAGUGUUGUUUGGUGUUUCAUUCUUUUUGAUUUUGUAUUUCAAAAUAAAAAUUAAAUGCUGUAAAACACAGGUAUCAGCCCUGAUUGAUAUGUGUGAUGGGAAAACAUGUUAGGUUUUGAAUGAUUUAAACAUAUAAAGCAGUCAAAGCAGUUAACAACCAUGACAGAUCAUAAAAAUAACUGAAAGAGCCAUUAACCAGAGCUGAAAAAGAUACCAGUAAUAAUUGCAUAAAAAUCUCUUACCUCUAGUUUUGUUUACACAUUCAAUGAGAAAAAAUAACACAAACAUGUUUGCUUUUACAUUUUUUCUAUCAGACAAAAUGUAGAUUAGGGUUGGAUUUUACUCUGUACCUCCUUUGUUUUGUAGGUUCAGUCUGUUCAUGCAAAAUCUUAUCGUCACAUUUCGCGCCAUUCCUGACAAACUGGGCGGAAGUUUAUCCAGUCACGUGAGACGUCGUCUCCAGCAACUUUCCCGCCACUAUCAAAUCCCGCCCCUCCUCCGUGAAAGCUGCGACACUAUUGGCUGAUGCGAUUGUCAGACUCGCGCCACUUUUUGCUCUCCGACCGACACGAGCUGGGUGCUUGUGAAUGAGUUCAGCACUCCAAGAAUAGAAAAUAAAAUAUAUAUUUAAGCUUUACGUUCGACUUCAUCUGGGCUUUGUAGCGUUGCGUUACGAAUCAUCUGUCGC
RNAcentral lists this long non-coding RNA (1479 nucleotides) under Oryzias sinensis (Chinese medaka). RNAcentral describes it as "lncRNA (ENSOSIG00000010807.1)". The record is from RNAcentral. Lineage: Eukaryota; Metazoa; Chordata; Actinopteri; Beloniformes; Adrianichthyidae.